AGGGUUUGAUUCUGGCUCAGGAUGAACGCUGGCGGCGUGCCUAACACAUGCAAGUCGAACGAGGUAAAUAAGAGGAAGUUUUCGGAUGGAAUCGUAUUUACCGAGUGGCGGACGGGUGAGUAACGCGUGGAUAACCUGCCUCAUACAGGGGGAUAACAGUUAGAAAUGACUGCUAAUACCGCAUAAGCGCACAGUAUCGCAUGGUACGGUGUGAAAAACUCCGGUGGUAUGAGAUGGAUCCGCGUCUGAUUAGCUAGUUGGCGGGGUAACGGCCCACCAAGGCGACGAUCAGUAGCCGACCUGAGAGGGUGACCGGCCACAUUGGGACUGAGACACGGCCCAA
Molecule: ribosomal RNA, 343 nt
Filed under: uncultured bacterium
Lineage: Bacteria
Description: bacterial SSU rRNA
Rfam family: Bacterial small subunit ribosomal RNA
Source: RNAcentral